RNAcentral lists this ribosomal RNA (160 nucleotides) under Babesia vogeli. Its description in RNAcentral is "partial small subunit ribosomal RNA". The stretch from base 27 to 160 matches the Rfam family "Eukaryotic small subunit ribosomal RNA", at positions 721 to 856 of the family's 1831-position model. Lineage: Eukaryota; Apicomplexa; Aconoidasida; Piroplasmida; Babesiidae. The record is from RNAcentral.
UUGUUCGUGUUUGCCAUUCGUUUGGCUUUUUCGAGUUCGCUUUUGGGUUUUCCCUUUUUACUUUGAGAAAAUUAGAGUGUUUCAAGCAGACUUUUGUCUUGAAUACUUCAGCAUGGAAUAAUAGAGUAGGACUUUGGUUCUAUUUGUGGUUAUAACCCCC